Molecule: ribosomal RNA, 374 nt
Filed under: uncultured bacterium
Lineage: Bacteria
Description: partial 16S ribosomal RNA
Rfam family: Bacterial small subunit ribosomal RNA
Source: RNAcentral
CCUACGGGUGACUGCAGUGGGGAAUAUUGCACAAUGGGGGAAACCCUGAUGCAGCGACGCCGCGUGAGCGAUGAAGUAUUUCGGUAUGUAAAGCUCUAUCAGCAGGGAAGAAAAUGACGGUACCUGACUAAGAAGCCCCGGCUAACUACGUGCCAGCAGCCGCGGUAAUACGUAGGGGGCAAGCGUUAUCCGGAUUUACUGGGUGUAAAGGGAGCGUAGACGGUCCUGCAAGCCAGAUGUGAAUGCCCGGGGCUCAACCCCGGGACUGCAUUUGGAACUGUACGGCUAGAGUGUCGGAGAGGCAGGCGGAAUUCCUGGUGUAGCGGUGAAAUGCGUAGAUAUUAGGAGGAACACCAGUGGCGAAGGCGGCCUGC